UAGUAUGGGGAUCUGCCCGAUAGAGGGGGGUAACUACUGGAAACGGUGGCUAAUACCGCAUAAUGUCUACGGACCAAAGCAGGGGCUCUUCGGACCUUGCACUAUCGGAUGAACCCAUAUGGGAUUAGCUAGUAGGUGGGAUAAAGGCUCACCUAGGCGACGAUCUCUAGCUGGUCUGAGAGGAUGAUCAGCCACACUGGGACUGAGACACGGCCCAG
RNAcentral lists this ribosomal RNA (218 nucleotides) under uncultured bacterium. RNAcentral describes it as "partial 16S ribosomal RNA". It matches the Rfam family "Bacterial small subunit ribosomal RNA", at positions 113 to 334 of the family's 1533-position model. The record is from RNAcentral.